Molecule: ribosomal RNA, 433 nt
Filed under: uncultured bacterium
Lineage: Bacteria
Description: partial 16S ribosomal RNA
Rfam family: Bacterial small subunit ribosomal RNA
Source: RNAcentral
AGCGAACGCUGGCGGCAGGCCUAACACAUGCAAGUCGAACGAACUCUUCGGACUUAGUGGCGGACGGGUGGGUAACACGUGGGAACGUGCCUUUUGGUUCGGUAUCACUCAGGGAGACUUGUGCUAAUAACGAAUGUGCCCUUAGGGGGGAAGAUUUCUCGCCGUUACAUCGGCCCGCGUCUGAUUAGCUAGUUGGUGAUGUACCGGCUCACCAACGAGACGUUGAGUGGCUGGUCGGAGAGGAGGGCAAGCCACACUGGGACUGAGGCACGGCCCAGACUCCUACGGGAGGCAGCAGUAGAUAAUCUUGCGCGAGGGGCGAAAGCCUGACGCAGCCAUGCCGCGGGAAUGAUGAAGGUCUUAGGAUUGUAAAAUUCUUUCUCCGGGGACGAUAAUGACGGUACCCGGAGAAGAAGCCCCGGCUAACUACGUG